GACGAACGCUGGCGGCGUGCCUAAUACAUGCAAGUAGAACGCUGAAGGAGGAGCUUGCUUCUCUGGAUGAGUUGCGAACGGGUGAGUAACGCGUAGGUAACCUGCCUGGUAGCGGGGGAUAACUAUUGGAAACGAUAGCUAAUACCGCAUAAUAGUAGAUGUUGCAUGACAUUUGCUUAAAAGGUGCAAUUGCAUCACUACCAGAUGGACCUGCGUUGUAUUAGCUAGUUGGUGAGGUAACGGCUCACCAAGGCGACGAUACAUAGCCGACCUGAGAGGGUGAUCGGCCACACUGGGACUGAGACACGGCCCAGACUCCUACGGGAGGCAGCAGUAGGGAAUCUUCGGCAAUAGACGGAAGUCUGACCGAGCAACGCCGCGUGAGUGAAGAAGGUUUUCGGAUCGUAAAGCCCUGUUGUAAGAGAAGAACGAGUGUGAGAGUGGAAAGUUCACACUGUGACGGUAUCUUACCAGAAAGGGACGGCUAACUACGUG
This 495-nucleotide ribosomal RNA is filed under the name uncultured bacterium. Its description in RNAcentral is "partial 16S ribosomal RNA". It matches the Rfam family "Bacterial small subunit ribosomal RNA", at positions 28 to 507 of the family's 1533-position model. The record is from RNAcentral.